UCCCAUGUGGUCUAGUGGUUAGGAUUCCUGGCUCUCACCUAGGCGGAAAGGGUUCGAUUCCCGGCAUGGGAA
Molecule: transfer RNA, 72 nt
Filed under: Trichonephila clavata
Lineage: Eukaryota; Metazoa; Arthropoda; Arachnida; Araneae; Nephilidae
Rfam family: tRNA
About the family: Transfer RNA (tRNA) molecules are approximately 80 nucleotides in length. Their secondary structure includes four short double-helical elements and three loops (D, anti-codon, and T loops).
Source: Rfam by way of RNAcentral